CUCAGCCCCACACGCACUCUCUUCCGCAUGGAGUUUACAGGGCGCACAGUCCCGAGGGGUUCCUGUUGCCUGUGAACUGGUCCUGGAGAAGAGGAGGCCCCUUUGAGGGCACCUUGGGAAUCGCAGGUGAACGCGCUCUCUGUGCGCCUGCCAGGCUUCUGGACAACCACUCGGUGGAAGCUAGAGUUCAUCUUCUAGCAAGAUGGUGGGGGCCCAGGCCUUCACACAGCUGUCUCUCCCCUGCGCAGACGUCCCCCUGUGAGGAUGGCUUUUCAGAUGCCUGGCAGAGAAGAUUAACUGCCAAGAUGCUCAACAGACUAAAGAAGGAAGUCUGAUACCAGUGGAGCCUCAGACUAGAAAGGGGCUCCAGGGGCCACAUGGUUCACCGUCCAGGAAGAGAAGGACCGUCAGGGCUGCUGGUCGUGAUCCCGCUUCCAUGCUAGCACCACCUGGGGCCCCUUAGAAAUCCCAGUGCUGGGCUGUGCCCCAGACCCACGCGAUCAGAGCAACAGCGUCUCAUGACUCACAUGAUCCUAACAGCAGCC
This is a non-coding RNA of Manis javanica (Malayan pangolin), 545 nucleotides long. The record is from RefSeq and is a predicted model, not a curated record. Lineage: Eukaryota; Metazoa; Chordata; Mammalia; Pholidota; Manidae.